Long non-coding RNA from Panonychus citri (citrus red mite), 3326 nucleotides. RefSeq lists it as uncharacterized. NCBI's taxonomy places the organism in Eukaryota, Metazoa, Arthropoda, Arachnida, Trombidiformes, Tetranychidae. The transcript is spliced from 4 exons. The record is from RefSeq and is a predicted model, not a curated record.
AUUCAAGGAUAAAGGGAGUUGUGUUAUGGUUUUCACUUUGAUGAUCUUUUUAAUCAAGAUUAUUUAAACAGAAUCAAUUCUCAAAAGGAUUUGGAUUUUCAUUGUUUAACUUGUAUCGAUAUAUCAUCAAUCAGAAAAAGGCCAAAAAUGAAAGGGGUAAAAGAUUCAAACAUGGAUUCCAUGAUAACCUUGUAAACCUUCAUGUGAUCAGAUUUUUAAAAUGAGGUCAUAAUUAUGUUAAUGAUCAAUAUUCUAUUUCUUUUUACAGGUUUGCUGAUUCAUAAUCAUGAUUGUUUUGAUUUUCCAGGGAAAAACAUGGAAAAGAAGAAAAAAAAAGUGACAAAGCAAAUUUUCCGAUGGCCUUUUCUCUUGUAUUGUAAUUGGAACAUUGAAAGAAAUCAAAGGUAAAUCAAGGGAAAUACAAGUCUAUUUGACUCUGAUUGAUUGAAUAAAGUGGAAAUAGAGAGAAGAAGCAAAAAAACGACAGAGUGGUCACUUCGACUGGCAGAAAACUGAUGACCAGAAGCAGUUUCAACAAGACAAUUUGUGAUUUCAAACUUGGAGUUAACUCUUAACCCAAUAACAUGAUUGUAUCUUCAACUAUUUGGUUAACCUGAUCAAAAGCAUUUGUAAUCAUAAUAACAAGCAAGCAAGAGAAUCAAUGUCAUUUCAAGAUGACAAAAACAACGAAAUACCAAUAAUACAAGAUGAAAAGACGAAGGAGUAACAAUAUCAAUUACUUAUAAAGGAGAGAGAGAGAGUAUAAAAAGUUCAGUGUUAAUACUUGGUAACUGAAUCUUCACCACGAUUAACACUCUCAUUGAUCAAAUUAUCCAUGGGUUUACAUGGGAGGAAAAAGGUGAAAAAUUAAUACCAAUUAAUCAGCUCAUGGUGAAACAAGGGAGCCAAUGGAAUCAUUUUCAAGGAGAGAAAAAGUUGACUUGUAACAUUAAUGGCGGGAAAAGUAGAUUAAUGUCAAACAAGUGAGAGCAAGUCAAGGAGAUGAAGGAGGAAAUGUAAUAAUAAAAAGCAAUAGAGAAACAAAAUUACCAAUAACAAUGUCAAGUAUUAAAAAAAAGAUGAUGAUUAUUUGGAGCUACAAUCUGAAUGGUAUUUAUAUAUAAAGGAAAACAAGGACAAGUGAAAAUAAAGUACUGGACAAAUGGAUGGACAAUGGUCAUUGAAAAUGAGGAUGAAUAAACGCAAAGGAAGAUGCAGAUGAUAAGGAUGAUAAGGAUGGAUAAAAGGAAGGAGGAGAUAAAAAAAACUCCAAGACAUUGAACUGGGACAUGGAAAAAGAUUCAUCUUUAAGUGACAUACAGAUAAUUGUUUGUGUUAUAUGCAGAGAGAGAGAGAGAGACUGAGGGUUUACACUUGAUUGAAGAAAAUUCUAAUGAAAGAAGGAAAAAGUCUAUUCCAUUGGAGGAAAUAUUGAGAGAAGAAGCGGACGAAAAGUUAUGGUAAGAAAUGGAGAUGGAGACGAGCGAAUUUCUAUCUUUCUGGUUACGAAGAUUCAGUCAAAAGCAUGAGAACGAAUCAUUGGAAUGAAUUUACCAUGAGAACUCAAGGGAACUCUAGUCAAUAUGAAUACACAGAGAAACAUUUGAUUCUUUCUUAUUUUUUACUCAUCCCUCUUUCUCCUUCUCCUUCUCCAUCAUCCACAAACCCUCAAGGUUUCCCAUGCUCUCUCUCUCUUCCUCUCCCUCUCUUACAAACAUUUACAUGAAAAUUCAAAAGAAGAUCAAAAAGAAAAGAAUGAUGAAGAAACGAGGGCAAUGAUGAUAAACAAUUGGAGAAAAAAAGCAAGAGAAUCGGAUCGAUGUGAAUCGAGAUUUUUCCCUUCGAAUUUCAUUUACAGCUGAUAUAUUAUAUGUUGAUGUUAUCGAUCAAGCUAAAAGUGUAUAUUAUCAUAUAUCAACAUGAAGAAGAAACUGUUUUGCCGAGAAAACUGUUAUUCGAUAAAUGCAAAGGUGAAGGUGGUAAAACUAAAAGGACAAAAGAUAUUGUUUGUGAUGAUAUUAAUAAUAAUAGAAAGAAUUGUGAAAGUAAAAUAUUGAAACAAAAUCCCCGAAGAAAAUAAUAAUAGUAAGUGUAUUUAUUUUGAUUCUAUCCUGAAAAAAGUACAUUGGAGACUAACUAACACUGAGACUUUGAUAUUAACCUCGAGAAAAGGUAACAUUCAAUGAGACGAAAAGAGUAAUGAUCAAUUUUCCUCUUCGCCCUUCUAACUGUAUCUUAAUUGUAACCAUUUUUUUCUCAUGUAUCUUAAUUUACUAUUGUUGACCUUAAUUAACUCUAAUUAGUGUUGAUUGUUUUCCUUCAUCUUUUCUCAUUAUCGUAAAAAUCGUUGGUAUAUAUUAUUGAGUAGACAAGGAGAGUAGAGGAAUAAAAUUGAAAGAGAUUGAAUCGGCGUUAAUGAUUCCCAAAGAAAACUCAUUAUAUUCAUUAACCAUUGAAUUAGAUUGUUGGAAACUUUGGUGAUAAUCAGAAUAUCUUCAUUAUCAUUGUUAUCAAAUGAACAUUGAAACAAUAGGAGCUUUUCCCUUGCCUUUACAAUGAACGUAAUUAUUAUCAUGUGGGCUCAAGAAAAGAUUGAUUUUCAAUUAUCGUCAACACUUAUUAUACAUAUCGUUGCUACGGAAUAGGAAAUAAUAACAACAACGACAAAAGGAUGAAGGAUAAAAGAUGAAGAUGAACAUGUAGUGUAUAUGUUGUAAUAAAUCAAUCAAUGGAAGAUGUCAAUUGAGAUGAAUAAACGUUGAAAUUGAAUAUAUAACAAUUUUAACUCUCACAUUAAAUGAUCAUCACAAUAACCAAACUUUAACAACUACACUCCAACUAACAACUUUAAUAAAGUGUAAACUUGAUGUUGUUAUAUUGGCUGUUUAUUGAUUCAUGGUUUGGUGUUUGACAACAACCAGGGAAACAGAUUAACUGAAUGAUGAUGAAAUUGAAAUGAUGAACAAGAUGAAUAUAAACAAACAAAUAACAUGAAUGAUAAUGGCGAUAUAAAUAUUACCACGGAAAAGAUUAAGGUCAAAACUUGAACCUGACAGAAAAUUAAACUUUAAAUUAAUUGUGAUUUUCUUAUAUUUACUCAGUGGAGAGGAAGUAAAGGAUGAAAAGGUGAUGAUGAUGGAGAUGAUGAUGAUGAUGAUGAUAAAGGAGAAAGUGGAAAAUGAUGAUGAUGAUGAAAAAGAUUAUAAAUAUUAUAAGGAAAGAAAAAAGUUCCAAGGUUGAUUGAGAUUCUCUCAGGAUAAAAAACAAGAGUUAAUUUGGAUGAUGGGAAAUUUGAACAAUCCAAGUGAACAAUCAAUUGAUGCAAA